This 254-nucleotide ribosomal RNA is filed under the name uncultured bacterium. Its description in RNAcentral is "partial 16S ribosomal RNA". It matches the Rfam family "Bacterial small subunit ribosomal RNA", at positions 524 to 776 of the family's 1533-position model. The record is from RNAcentral.
UACGGGGGGAGCAAGCGUUGUUCGGAUUUACUGGGCGUAAACGGCUUGUAGGUGGCCACGUCAAGUCGGAUGUGAAAUCUCCCGGCUCAACUGGGAGGGGUCAUUCGAUACUGGCGGGCUCGAGGCCGGUAGGGGGAAGCGGAAUUCCCGGUGUAGUGGUGGAAUGCGUAGAUAUCAGGAGGAACACCAAUGGCGAAGGCAGCUCGCUGGGACGUGACUGACGCUGAGACGCGAAAGCGUGGGGAGCAAACAGG